This 497-nucleotide ribosomal RNA is filed under the name uncultured bacterium. Its description in RNAcentral is "partial 16S ribosomal RNA". It matches the Rfam family "Bacterial small subunit ribosomal RNA", at positions 28 to 507 of the family's 1533-position model. The record is from RNAcentral.
GAUGAACGCUGGCGGCGUGCCUAAUACAUGCAAGUCGAGCGAACAGACGAGGAGCUUGCUCCUCUGACGUUAGCGGCGGACGGGUGAGUAACACGUGGAUAACCUACUUCUAAGACUGGGAUAACUUCGGGAAACCGGAGCUAAUACCGGAUAAUAUAUUGAACCGCAUGGAUCAAUAGUGAAAGACGGUUUUGCUGUCACUUAUAGAUGGAUCCGCGCCGCAUUAGCUAGUUGGUAAGGUAACGGCUUACCAAGGCAACGAUGCGUAGCCGACCUGAGAGGGUGAUCGGCCACACUGGAACUGAGACACGGUCCAGACUCCUACGGGAGGCAGCAGUAGGGAAUCUUCCGCAAUGGGCGAAAGCCUGACGGAGCAACGCCGCGUGAGUGAUGAAGGUCUUCGGAUCGUAAAACUCUGUUAUUAGGGAAGAACAAAUGUGUAAGUAACUAUGCACGUCUUGACGGUACCUAAUCAGAAAGCCACGGCUAACUACGUG